This is a long non-coding RNA of Oncorhynchus masou masou (cherry salmon), 1968 nucleotides long. RefSeq lists it as uncharacterized. The transcript is spliced from 3 exons. The record is from RefSeq and is a predicted model, not a curated record. NCBI's taxonomy places the organism in Eukaryota, Metazoa, Chordata, Actinopteri, Salmoniformes, Salmonidae.
CAAAGUUUUGUCGUAGGAUAGUUGGUCGCUGUGCUGAAAAUCUUCCAGAACCUGUUCCUGACCUACGCUCCUAAGCACAGAUCUAGGAUCAGCUCAUCCUCAUCAAGUCCAAACCAGGACAUUAACAAACCACAAGGGGAACACUGACCUCAGACCAGCGUUUAAACCCCACGUCUUCCUGCCAAGACACUGACACUCCGUCCAGAAUUCCUCUGCGCUCCAGCCGUCCAUCCAUCCAUCCAUCCAUCCUUCCUUCCUUCCAUCCAUCCAUCCAUCCUUCCUUCCAUCCAUCCAUCCAUCCGUCCAUCCACACCCCAGCCAGCCAGCCAUGGGUCUGAUGAGUGAGGACAUGGAGUGCUGUGUCUGCCUCCAGCUCUACUCUCGCAGGGAGAAGAUCCCUCGGAUGCUCCACUGUAAGCACACAUUCUGUGGGCUGUGCUUGCAGGCGAUGUCCAGGCUCCAAAGCGGCCUACUGACAGUUUGCUGCCCCCUGUGCCGUUGGAUCACCUGCACCGAGCCCAGCCUCACCCUGCCGGGGUCGCUGUGGGUUAACACUGAGAUCUGGGACCAGAUACUAGACAGACAACAGGAAGAGAAGGAGGAGGAAGAGGAGGAAGAGUGGAAGGGAGCUCACAGACAGACACAGCCCACUACACAGUACACAUGUUCUCCAUCAAGGCAUUGUGGCCUGAGGCUCAAACUACAGAAUUUCCUGAGGAGGAUGAAGCACAAUGUAUUGUAAACCGAGAAGACGAAGAGCAGAGAAAGAAGACUGGAUUUUCCCAUCUCAGAGCAGGAGAUACUCAUUGUGUAAUGAAGCUAAUUCAUAAAACAGGACCAACAGGGGAUGUUCCAUAAUGAAGCAAGAUUGAAUCAAUUAUUCAUAUGCUUUGUGUUUGAUUGACUUUGGGUAUGUGUAAUGUUCUCAGUCAACUUACCUGGUAAAAUAAGGGUUAAAUUAUAGUAUUAAUCAUAAAGGAUGGAUAGGUGGAGGAAAUAAAAAAUAAGAUAAUAAAUGGAUUGAGGAAUAAAGAAAGAUAAAGGAAGUUAUGAACAGACAGACAGACAGACAGACAGACAGACAGACAGACAGACAGACAGACAGACAGACAGACGGGUGAAGGUUAGAGACUGUGUGCUGUACAAUGUGUGCUGUGUACAAUACAAUAUGCUGUGAACAAUGUUUAGAUAGAUAUUUACAUAUUUACAUAUUUAUGCUUAUUUAUUUUCCCAUGACAUUUGUAAUGUCUUUAUUGUUUUGAAACUUUUUAUUGGUUAUUUCACUUUUGUAUAUUAUCUACUUCACUUGCUUUGGCAAUGUUAACACAUGUUUCCCCUGCCAAUAAAGCCCCUUGAAUUGAAAAGAUAGAUAGAUAGGUAGAUAGAUAGAUGGGUGUAGGUUAGAGACUGUGUGCUGUACAAUGUGUGCUGUGUACAAUACAAUAUGCUGUGAACAAUGUUUAUAAUAGAUGUUUAAUGAUUUGAUAGAAGGUGUAUUACUGCGUGAAGGAAGUGGAGGUUUAGUAUUUAUUAUGACAUCAUUUUAGAACAGCUUCAAUGUUGCAGGUUGUUUAUUUUAUCAAUGUCAUUGUCUGCAUCAUUUCCAGUCCCCCAAAUCAGGGAUGUUGGAUUUGUUUAUCCUCAUUGGACAUGUUUAAUUCAUCUGUUCUGUUUGAAGAGCAGGUUUUUUAUACUGGAAUUAUAUGUAUUGGUUAAUAAAUACAUCCACUUUAAAAUAACCCUGUCUUAGAGUUGUGAAAUUGCUUAUUGUUACCAUUACAUUAGGAGAGUAACUGUCUAAUAUCCACCUAGUUAUGGACCCCAAAUAGAGUUGGGGGUGUUAAUACACUUCAGAUUGUGUCUGAAAUGGACCCUAUUCAUUAUAGUAUACUACUUUUGACCAGGGCCCAGCUAGUACAGUUAUAGCAUACUACAUUUGACCAAGGCCAGGCAAGUACAGUAUAUAGU